Long non-coding RNA from Hemibagrus wyckioides, 245 nucleotides. RefSeq lists it as uncharacterized. Lineage: Eukaryota; Metazoa; Chordata; Actinopteri; Siluriformes; Bagridae. The record is from RefSeq and is a predicted model, not a curated record. The transcript is spliced from 3 exons.
AUCUUGCAGUGCCCUCUGCUCCCUCUCCGUACCACCUCCUGACAUCAAGCAACUGCCACCAGUCGAUGCACCAGCCUUGCCAGCUCAAAAAACACCUGUGCCCCUUCCCAAAGAGCUGAUGUUUCUUGUGCCAGAACAAUCAGCUUCCACACAAACUAAGCCACGGGUUUCAACUACAGACUCAUCCACCUCUGCCCUCGGCUCUUCGGUGUGCAGCCCACCACCUCCGCAACAGACAGUAACCA